CAAGCUUUUACCAUCUUCACAAAUUUUCUCAAAGAGAUAGCUCUUUCCUACAAUAUUCCACACAUUUAAUUGAAACAAUAAUAUUUCUCUGAAAAUAAGCCCUGCAUAAACAGUGGCUGCAGAUACAGGCACACAAAGGUGAAGCCCCCAUGCAGUCCGAUGCCAGCUGUGACUUCCCUCAAUUUACCCAAAUUAAAUGUAAGCAAGUUAACAUUCCUUGUCCCUGGACUGUCAUCAGCUUCCAAUCAGUAAUUCAUCUUCCCCCUCUGUUCCUGCGGCUGAGAGCACAAAGCCUUUUGUGUAAAAAAAGAACAUUGACUCUGAUUUCAUGAGCUCUACCGAUGGCUUCUUACCAGCUCUGUGAGCUAGCCAGGGUAUGUCUGCCAUACUGAAGUCUCUUCUAAUAUAUAUAUAUUUUUCUACAUACAUCAUAGAGAAGAGCCUUAAAAAAUCUUAUUCUGAGCCCCACCUUGAUCCAGCAGCCAGCACAGCUUGUAAUCCUGAUGCUGAGCUUUCCGUACCUCUGAAAAAAUCAUUAUAAUUAUAUGUAAUGCACAUAAUUAUUUAUAUCAGAACUAUAUAUAAUUAACUAAGUAUAUCUCUAAUGCUGAAUGCCACCACGCCACUUCCCUUUGCUCACUGUCACCAUCCUGGGAAGGGGAUUUGUGUCCUGCUUGUGUCAGUCAGCUCAGCAGGAUUCAGGAGGGUGAUCAGAUCCAAAUUAACAGCUGGACCUGAUGAUCUUAGAGGAUUGAGAGGAUUUAAGAGCUCACUUGGACACGGUGACUGUAAACUCCCUUGCAGGAGGUAUCAUUGCCAGAUGCUGGUGUGCAAUGGGGAAAAGAGCAGCAAUCACGGAAAUCAAGCUUGGAAGAUGCACCACCUGGCCAAGCACAUGGAGGUAACCAAAUUGGAGAAUUCUUCUCCUUCCACUCCAGCCUGCUGGCAGAGAACGAACCCACGUCUGCAGAGGUCCUCUCCUUCUCCAGAAUGAACCCACUAGCAACAGAAAGGGAUCACCUUUUGGGUACAAGGAUCCAGUGCAAACACACCCUUUCCUAAAAUCUCAAAACUCAGAGAGGUGAGACAACAAAAACCCCAAACACCUUCCGCCUGGAUCCCUCUGUAGCAUCCUCAGUUGGCAUAAAUGGGUGCUUGCAGGAGGUAUCCUCCCACUCCCCACCUCCAUGGAUUUUUUGCAGCCCCCUCCUUUUCAGGGCUAGGAAAUCAGCACGCACAGGGCUAAUUAGAAAGCAGAGCUGUUAUUAUGCAGCGUGCUCAGCACGGCGAGCCGUGCUGAUGGAGAUGGAUGGGUGCCGGUGGCUGGGAGGAGAGCCGAGAGCCCUUUGUCAGGAGCAGAUGGCAAGGGGAGGGGAGGACGGGGGAGAGGGGUCUCUCGGGGGAGUAAAUCCAGCUCAGGAGAAUGUUCAUUUUACUCGCUAUCCCUCUGUGCAAUCGGCCUCUCGCCCCUUAAUGACGUGCUUUUGAAAGAGAAGAGUCAAUCAGUCGAGGCGUAAUAGAGGGAUGACUGAUGGAAAAAGCUAAUGCGGGAGCAUUUGUAGCAUCCCGG
This 1570-nucleotide long non-coding RNA is filed under the name Anas platyrhynchos platyrhynchos (common mallard). RNAcentral's name for it is "lncRNA (ENSAPLG00000020616.1)". Lineage: Eukaryota; Metazoa; Chordata; Aves; Anseriformes; Anatidae. The record is from RNAcentral.